RNAcentral lists this transfer RNA (72 nucleotides) under Stachyamoeba lipophora. RNAcentral's name for it is "tRNA-Asn". It matches the Rfam family "tRNA". Rfam says of the family: Transfer RNA (tRNA) molecules are approximately 80 nucleotides in length. Their secondary structure includes four short double-helical elements and three loops (D, anti-codon, and T loops). The record is from RNAcentral. Lineage: Eukaryota; Heterolobosea; Gruberellidae.
CAUCAGGUAGCUCAGAGGUAGAGCGAGUGGCUGUUAACCACUCGGUCGUUGGUUCAAUUCCAAUCCUGGUCU